Molecule: ribosomal RNA, 2345 nt
Filed under: Salmonella enterica
Lineage: Bacteria; Pseudomonadati; Pseudomonadota; Gammaproteobacteria; Enterobacterales; Enterobacteriaceae
Also listed under: 1 other name
Description: partial 23S ribosomal RNA
Rfam family: Bacterial large subunit ribosomal RNA
Source: RNAcentral
GCGUUAAGUUGCAGGGUAUAGACCCGAAACCCGGUGAUCUAGCCAUGGGCAGGUUGAAGGUUGGGUAACACUAACUGGAGGACCGAACCGACUAAUGUUGAAAAAUUAGCGGAUGACCUGUGGCUGGGGGUGAAAGGCCAAUCAAACCGGGAGAUAGCUGGUUCUCCCCGAAAGCUAUUUAGGUAGCGCCUCGUGAAUUCAUCUCCGGGGGUAGAGCACUGUUUCGGCUAGGGGGCCAUCCCGGCUUACCAACCCGAUGCAAACUGCGAAUACCGGAGAAUGUUAUCACGGGAGACACACGGCGGGUGCUAACGUCCGUCGUGAAGAGGGAAACAACCCAGACCGCCAGCUAAGGUCCCAAAGUCAUGGUUAAGUGGGAAACGAUGUGGGAAGGCCCAGACAGCCAGGAUGUUGGCUUAGAAGCAGCCAUCAUUUAAAGAAAGCGUAAUAGCUCACUGGUCGAGUCGGCCUGCGCGGAAGAUGUAACGGGGCUAAACCAUGCACCGAAGCUGCGGCAGCGAACGUAUCACCCAAGACAACUUUACGGAGUUGACGAUUGACGGAGCGAAGCGACGUCAAAGCGUUCAUUAAAGUCGAGUUGGCUUAGGGAUACGUUCGUUGGGUAGGGGAGCGUUCUGUAAGCCUGUGAAGGUGUGUCGUGAGGCAUGCUGGAGGUAUCAGAAGUGCGAAUGCUGACAUAAGUAACGAUAAAGCGGGUGAAAAGCCCGCUCGCCGGAAGACCAAGGGUUCCUGUCCAACGUUAAUCGGGGCAGGGUGAGUCGACCCCUAAGGCGAGGCCGAAAGGCGUAGUCGAUGGGAAACGGGUUAAUAUUCCCGUACUUGGUGUUACUGCGAAGGGGGGACGGAGAAGGCUAUGUUGGCCGGGCGACGGUUGUCCCGGUUUAAGCGUGUAGGUGUGUGUUCCAGGUAAAUCCGGUUCACUUUAACACUGAGGCGUGACGACGAGGCACUACGGUGCUGAAGCAACAAAUGCCCUGCUUCCAGGAAAAGCCUCUAAGCAUCAGGUAACACGAAAUCGUACCCCAAACCGACACAGGUGGUCAGGUAGAGAAUACCAAGGCGCUUGAGAGAACUCGGGUGAAGGAACUAGGCAAAAUGGUGCCGUAACUUCGGGAGAAGGCACGCUGACACGUAGGUGAAGUGAUUUACUCAUGGAGCUGAAGUCAGUCGAAGAUACCAGCUGGCUGCAACUGUUUAUUAAAAACACAGCACUGUGCAAACACGAAAGUGGACGUAUACGGUGUGACGCCUGCCCGGUGCCGGAAGGUUAAUUGAUGGGGUCAGCGUAAGCGAAGCUCCUGAUCGAAGCCCCGGUAAACGGCGGCCGUAACUAUAACGGUCCUAAGGUAGCGAAAUUCCUUGUCGGGUAAGUUCCGACCUGCACGAAUGGCGUAAUGAUGGCCAGGCUGUCUCCACCCGAGACUCAGUGAAAUUGAACUCGCUGUGAAGAUGCAGUGUACCCGCGGCAAGACGGAAAGACCCCGUGAACCUUUACUAUAGCUUGACACUGAACAUUGAGCCUUGAUGUGUAGGAUAGGUGGGAGGCUUUGAAGUGUGGACGCCAGUCUGCAUGGAGCCGACCUUGAAAUACCACCCUUUAAUGUUUGAUGUUCUAACGUGGACCCGUAAUCCGGGUUGCGGACAGUGUCUGGUGGGUAGUUUGACUGGGGCGGUCUCCUCCUAAAGAGUAACGGAGGAGCACGAAGGUUGGCUAAUCCUGGUCGGACAUCAGGAGGUUAGUGCAAUGGCAUAAGCCAGCUUGACUGCGAGCGUGACGGCGCGAGCAGGUGCGAAAGCAGGUCAUAGUGAUCCGGUGGUUCUGAAUGGAAGGGCCAUCGCUCAACGGAUAAAAGGUACUCCGGGGAUAACAGGCUGAUACCGCCCAAGAGUUCAUAUCGACGGCGGUGUUUGGCACCUCGAUGUCGGCUCAUCACAUCCUGGGGCUGAAGUAGGUCCCAAGGGUAUGGCUGUUCGCCAUUUAAAGUGGUACGCGAGCUGGGUUUAGAACGUCGUGAGACAGUUCGGUCCCUAUCUGCCGUGGGCGCUGGAGAACUGAGGGGGGCUGCUCCUAGUACGAGAGGACCGGAGUGGACGCAUCACUGGUGUUCGGGUUGUCAUGCCAAUGGCACUGCCCGGUAGCUAAAUGCGGAAGAGAUAAGUGCUGAAAGCAUCUAAGCACGAAACUUGCCCCGAGAUGAGUUCUCCCUGAGACUUAGAGUCUCCUGAAGGAACGUUGAAGACGACGACGUUGAUAGGCCGGGUGUGUAAGCGCAGCGAUGCGUUGAGCUAACCGGUACUAAUGAACCGUGAGGCUUAACCUUACA